This is a long non-coding RNA of Nerophis ophidion (straightnose pipefish), 930 nucleotides long. RefSeq lists it as uncharacterized. The record is from RefSeq and is a predicted model, not a curated record. The transcript is spliced from 4 exons. NCBI's taxonomy places the organism in Eukaryota, Metazoa, Chordata, Actinopteri, Syngnathiformes, Syngnathidae.
GGGCAGGCAGACGGAGGCAAACACAGCACAGGCCAGAGCAAAGGGCGAUUCAAAGGCUGGCGAAUUGAUGAAUGUAGACGUUUUCAACUGUUAUGUUGUUGUUCCUGUUCUCCCCCUUUUUUUUUUUUUUUUCUGAUUGCCGCGUUGUUUGUCUCGGUGCCCUCUUCCGUUCCUUGUCCACACUGAGCCUGUUUUACUGGUGCGCGUUUGGGAUGUGUGUUUGUAGAGCUAUGCGAGAGCAGACGUCCUUCUGUCACCCUGUGCUUGAGCAGACGCACUCAUGCCAGGAGGAGGGGAUUGUGGGAAAAAGGGGUGUCGCUCUCAGAGGGUGUGCUCUACUCCUCUCUUUUCCCUUCUUCCCGCCAUCACGGCCCUCUUCUACUCCAGUCCUCCGGCCCAGGCCGCCGCUCAGAUACAGACUCCAGCUACCAUCGACACCCGUGAGACACUGCGCGUCAAGACACCCGUGGACACACCCCUCCGACUAUCAGGAGUGUGACCUUGACGGCUGCACUAUGAUGAUGCAACAUGAAUGCUGUCCUUGGGCCUGAGGAGACAGCUUGGUCGUCGCCCAGGUGACAAUAUGGAACUGUUCAAGCAACACAGCAACUCACAUAACACAUAUUGUUGUGACAAUUACUGUGCUGUAAAGAAUAUGGUACCUGACCGGUGAAUAUGUUUGACCUGGGCUUUGUCAGGGUGAGGUAGUAGGUUGUAUAGUUUGGUGGGUGGGUCCGCACCCUACUCAGGUGAUAACUAUACAGUCUAUUGCCUUCCCUGAGCGGCUCACGCACGGACAGCUAAAGUUUUUCAAGCAAAACUAGUGCCUGUUUAUUUUGUAUUUGUAUUUGUAUGUGUUUGUUUGAAAGACAAUGUGCAGUUACAUUAAAGAAGAUGGCCGCACCAGAUUUAGCACCAUGCUAAUUUCCA